Molecule: non-coding RNA, 97 nt
Organism: Mycena leptocephala
Lineage: Eukaryota; Fungi; Basidiomycota; Agaricomycetes; Agaricales; Mycenaceae
Source: the annotation of a GenBank genome assembly
GCCCUCGUCGAUCACGGUGAUCGCCCACAGCUCUUAUUUGAGGCCCGUAGGCGUUAACAGAGGUGGGAGGUGGGGGGUUCGACUCCCCCCGAGGGCA